UGGGGAAUUGUGGACAAUGGGGGAAACCCUGAUCCAGCCAUCCCGCGUGUGCGAUGAAGGCCUUCGGGUUGUAAAGCACUUUUGGCAGGAAAGAAACGUCAUGGGUUAAUACCCCGUGAAACUGACGGUACCUGCAGAAUAAGCACCGGCUAACUACGUGCCAGCAGCCGCGGUAAUACGUAGGGUGCAAGCGUUAAUCGGAAUUACUGGGCGUAAAGCGUGCGCAGGCGGUUCGGAAAGAAAGAUGUGAAAUCCCAGAGCUCAACUUUGGAACUGCAUUUUUAACUACCGGGCUAGAGUGUGUCAGAGUGAGGUGGAAUUCCGCGUGUAGCAGUGAAAUGCGUAGAUAUGCGGAGGAACACCGAUGGCGAAGGCAGCCUCCUGGGAUAACACUGACGCUCAUGCACGAAAGCGUGGGGAGCAAACAGG
RNAcentral lists this ribosomal RNA (429 nucleotides) under Acidobacteriota bacterium. RNAcentral's name for it is "Acidobacteria bacterium partial 16S ribosomal RNA". It matches the Rfam family "Bacterial small subunit ribosomal RNA", at positions 355 to 776 of the family's 1533-position model. Lineage: Bacteria; Pseudomonadati; Acidobacteriota. The record is from RNAcentral.